GCCAUGCAUUCUGUUCCAAAUGAAUGUAGAUACUACCAUAUGAAUGCAUUAUACUGCAUUUACCAUGUUUUUAAUGCAGCAUUCUUUAACGAUCCCAUUGUCCUGACUGUUUCCCGGGGUUGUGUUAUUCUCCAGGUUCAGCCCUGGGGUGUGCCAUGCGGGUGGGAGAUGUGGCGGUGCCCAACGAGUAUGGCACCUAGCUGUACGGCCGUGGAGGCUGGUGUGAUGGGCUACAGGUCAACCCCUGGAGGAUUGAGAUCACCACACAGCUGGACAUGAGUGGGAUUGAAGCCGAUACUCUGCUCUACUUUGGCCUUUACAGUGGACAGGAGCCCAAUCCGUCUCAAGACCCUGGCUACAUUGUCAUGCUCUCUUAUCUGGUGCUCUACAAGUUGUGCUCUACAAGUAGGGGGGAAAAAAUUAUGAAAUGUAUGCAUUCACUACUGUAAGUCGCUCUGGAUAAGAGCGUCUGCUAAAUGACUAAAAUGUAAAUGUAAAAUGUCUCCCUGACAACCAGGUUGUCUUGAAUGUGAAUUUUAAUGACUGUGAUUGAUGCGAAUGAAA
This 564-nucleotide long non-coding RNA is filed under the name Salmo salar (Atlantic salmon). Its description in RNAcentral is "lncRNA (ENSSSAG00000112503.1)". The stretch from base 433 to 486 matches the Rfam family "UnaL2 LINE 3' element". The record is from RNAcentral. Lineage: Eukaryota; Metazoa; Chordata; Actinopteri; Salmoniformes; Salmonidae.